RNAcentral lists this ribosomal RNA (98 nucleotides) under uncultured archaeon. The record is from RNAcentral.
UAGCGGCCAUAGGUUUAGGGGAAACACCUGUUCCCGUUUCGAUCACAGAAGUUAAGCCCUUUUCCGUUAUCAUAUAGUACUCCGGAAUACGGGGGAAC